Brienomyrus brachyistius is the source of this 640-nucleotide long non-coding RNA. RefSeq lists it as uncharacterized. The record is from RefSeq and is a predicted model, not a curated record. NCBI's taxonomy places the organism in Eukaryota, Metazoa, Chordata, Actinopteri, Osteoglossiformes, Mormyridae. The transcript has 5 exons.
GAGCCAUAAGAUCCGGCUCCCUUCAAAGAGCCGUUAUUCCCAACACUAUACCCAUCGGAGGAAAGCCGGCGCCAGAAGGGCUGACUGACCCUGAGCCCACUUGUAGAGAGAUGCGGCCUGCAUCUGACGGCGCUGUUUUUCUGCAUUCUGAGGAUUGUGCAGAGCCGUGACUGGCUUUCCGGCCCAUCGGUCUUCAUCAGGAAAGGUAACGAGCAGUGAGACCGGAUUUUGGAAUCGAAGGCAUCCAAGGAGAAUGAUUGGUUGAGGCCAAACAUCUCGUGACAGUAAGGAUAUGACAGUGUAGCAACAUUGGACCAUACCACAAAAUCCCCUGAAACGGGGGGUUGAUACACCCCAUUGAAGGAGCAAUUGGAACGGCCCUGACAGGAAGCCAGGUCAAACGCUGCUCGCACGGCGGACCGGCAGAGGCCCGGAUCCCCAGUCCCGACCAAGAUGCUAUAGCGUGUGAGAAUCCCAGGAGGGUCCAUUCAGCUUCCAUUCAUGCAAUGUAAAUAGCAAUUUAUGCGGGACCAAGAGGAGACAGCCACACCUUCGUGUAUCCGGGGGGCGCCUGCCCUUCAGCCGGGCGGGUGGAGAAGGCGAUCUGGGUGGACGCCCCCCCGAGAUCCAGGGAGCCGAU